RNAcentral lists this microRNA precursor (86 nucleotides) under Thiocapsa rosea. RNAcentral's name for it is "microRNA mir-598". The record is from RNAcentral. Lineage: Bacteria; Pseudomonadati; Pseudomonadota; Gammaproteobacteria; Chromatiales; Chromatiaceae.
GAAUCUAAUCGUUGUCGUUGUCGUUGUCGUUGUCGUUGUCGUAAUCGUAUUCGACAACGACAACGACAACGACAACGACAACGACA